UCCUGGCUCAGAUUGAACGCUGGCGGAAUGCUUUACACAUGCAAGUCGAACGGUAGAGGGGGCAACCCUCGAGAGUGGCGAACGGGUGAGUAAUAUAUCGGAACGUGCCCAGUCGUGGGGGAUAACGUAGCGAAAGUUACGCUAAUACCGCAUACGAUCUACGGAUGAAAGCGGGGGAUCGCAAGACCUCGCGCGAUUGGAGCGGCCGAUGGCAGAUUAGGUAGUUGGUGGGAUAAAAGCUUACCAAGCCGACGAUCUGUAGCUGGUCUGAGAGGACGACCAGCCACACUGGGACUGAGACACGGCCCAGACUCCUACGGGAGGCAGCAGUGGGGAAUCUUAGACAAUGGGGGAAACCCUGAUCUAGCCAUGCCGCGUGAUCGAUGAAGGCCUUCGGGUUGUAAAGCUCUUUUGUCAGGGAAGAAACAGCAGCUCUAACACAGUCUGCGAAUGACGGUACCUGAAGAAUAAGCACCGGCUAACUACGUG
Molecule: ribosomal RNA, 489 nt
Filed under: uncultured bacterium
Lineage: Bacteria
Description: bacterial SSU rRNA
Rfam family: Bacterial small subunit ribosomal RNA
Source: RNAcentral